UGUCAGUUCAUAUUGUAAAAGCUUUGAUUGGUUGGAGGACGUCCUCCAGAAGUGGUCAUAAUUACCAUGUAGGUCUAUGGAAGGGGAUAAGGCCUACAAGCCUCCUAGGUUUUUUAUUGACGUCAAUAGCUGUCCUCCGACUACACCAUUGUGCUAGCCUAGAGUGUGUUGUUGAGACUACUGUAGACCUUCAUUGCAAAACAGUGUGUUUUACUCAGGUAUUUGGUUACGUGAAUAUAUUUAGUAUAGUUUUAUCUAAAAAUGAGAACGUUUUUAAUGUUUAAUUUUUAUUUUUUUUAUUCUGAGGAGUCUCCACUGAUGCUUACAUGUUCUGAUUUAGAGUGACCAUUCUCCUAUCACAGUAGCUUUUAUCAUCUCUCUUGGGUAAUUAUUUAUAACCUGUUCAGGUUAUUGAUAGUUAGUUAGCAUUAGAGUACAGGUACUUUAUGUAGAGAUACAGAAAUUGCUGUUUGAACAGGUCGUAUGGUUUCCGUUUACUCUAUGAACUAAUCCAAAACCACAGUUUCCUCAGAGAAGGUCCCGCACACUUUUAGAACUGGUGUUUGUCCUGACCAUGUGACCUAACCAGGAGAAACUCCUAGCCCUAAUUUAUGCCUCAUAAUUAAUUUCCCUCUCAGAUGACUUUGACUGACAUAAAGUCAUCCCUCAAAAUGUCCCCAUAACGCAGAACACGUUGAGCUGUGGUCAUUAAACAACGUGUUUGACAUGUGCAAGGUCAAAUUUGAAUGAAUGGUGUGUUAGUGUGUGCGGUACGACAAUUAUUGUAUAAAACUUCUGGUAAACUACAGCCACUCGUAUCUGAUGAUGAGGAAGGACUAUUUAUUAGGCUGCCUACUGUUCUCAGUGCAAUUAUACAUGAGCAUUUGAACAUGUGACUCAUGAUGUGGGAAUGACAAGAACUGUGAGUAUCAAGGUUACAGGUGAUUCCUGGCCAAUCAUACAUAACACUGAUUUGCAUAGGGGGGAGUCAUGAAUACGUUUAGUGAAGGAAAUGCUGUAAUGCUGACAUACUGCUGAAUGGUGCUGACACAGAAUUAGCGACAGACGAGUGUGAAAGUACCAGAGCCGUAUUAAAUACGGGGCUAUUUCUUUAGACCUAGCAUGGGAUCUAUAUGGUGGCAGCCUUGGAGUGCUGCUGUGUGCAUUUUCCUCUGGGUGCUCUGGGCCUGGUGUGGUGUAGGACUUUAACCAUGUGGAGCACUGUAAUGACUCUCUACAUGCUCAACCCACCACGGGGCUACCUGGGGGGCAGCAACCUGAAGAAGAUAUGCCAGCGCCUGGAGGACAAUCCCUGAUUUGUCACCCUCUAUGACUCCCGCAGACACAUGCCCCUCUAAUCUGCCUACUCCUUCAAAUGGUCUGACGGGGAGAAAUGCAAGGAUCAGCCCUGAGUUCUCUCUCUGCCUCUCUUCCUCCCUCUAGCUGGCCUCCAGUAAAACCAGUAGUAAUAUGGAGCCCUUCCCCCAGUCUGCCUAGAUGCACAUGCAUCUCAUGGACAGUCAGGCGGUGCUGGAUGACUUUGCAGAUGUGACCCAGAACAAGAGAGGCCACCUGAACCCAGACCAGCACCAGACUGAGCCCUUGGAAAAGGCAGCCACCUACACCCUGACCAACGUAGUGCCUUAGAUCCGAGAGUUCAACACCGGCCCCUGGGCCCAACACGAGGACCGCAUCAGACAAGGCCUCAAUAACUACUGCCGUGGCAACGCCUAUGUCAACACAGAAGUCACCUCGGCUGGGAACAUGAUCCGACGGGACAACCAGGACUGUGUGGGCAUACCAGAGUACAUGUGUACGGCCUACUGCUGUCCAGACUAUUACCACAAUGCCCCCUACCUAGAGCUCUACCGCCUCCCCGUGCCUAUCAAGACCCUAGAGAAGUUUCUGAAGGGACGGAUGGACGUGGACAAGAACUACCAGAUAUUCUACAAUGAAAGUGUGCCUGAUGACAUGUAGCCAUACUAGAAAAUAUUUUGUCUCUAGCUAAAUGAUGAAAGACAUAAAAGCAAGGUUGUAGUAUUGUGGUGUGGAUGCAUUUAUUCAUACAUACACUAGAGGGCGCUUCUGUCAAACGUCUGUGGUCAAAUGUUUCUUAAUGUUUCUUUAAUCUGCUUUGAAGCGACCUUUUUAAGGUUAUGUGAUUGUGAAGAAACUCAAAAGACUGAUGCAACAAUGUAAUUUCAUUUGUGUUGAUUGACAAAGAGCCGGGAGGGAGAAUCGUGCUGUGCUUGGUGUAACAUUCAUCUAUUACAUCCAGGGAGAAUGACUGCACCUCACAAGUUGACCGACCGCGGUACUGCAGGUAUUAUUUCCAGAAAACAGGAUACCCAUUAUACAGAAUUGGGAAAUGGCGAUCUCCGCGGUCAAUAUUCAUGGUAUACAGUGCAUUCGGAAAGUAUUCAGACCCAUUGACUUUUUCCAUAUUUUGUAAUGUUACAG
This 2460-nucleotide long non-coding RNA is filed under the name Salmo salar (Atlantic salmon). Its description in RNAcentral is "lncRNA (ENSSSAG00000085750.1)". Lineage: Eukaryota; Metazoa; Chordata; Actinopteri; Salmoniformes; Salmonidae. The record is from RNAcentral.